GACGUAGGGCGCGAGCGUUGUCCGGAUUUAUUGGGCGUAAAAGAGCUCGUAGGACGGCUUGUCGCGUCGUUCGUGAAAACCUGCAGCUCAACUGCAGGCUUGCGGUCGAUACGGGCAGGCUAGAAGUUCGGGUGAGGGGAGACUGGAAUUCCUGGUGUGAGCGGGUGGAAAAUGCGCAGAUAUACAGGGAGGAACACCGGGUGGC
This 205-nucleotide ribosomal RNA is filed under the name uncultured bacterium. Its description in RNAcentral is "partial 16S ribosomal RNA". It matches the Rfam family "Bacterial small subunit ribosomal RNA", at positions 524 to 716 of the family's 1533-position model. The record is from RNAcentral.